Arachis stenosperma is the source of this 120-nucleotide small nuclear RNA. RefSeq annotates it as U5 spliceosomal RNA. NCBI's taxonomy places the organism in Eukaryota, Viridiplantae, Streptophyta, Magnoliopsida, Fabales, Fabaceae. The record is from RefSeq and is a predicted model, not a curated record. The transcript has a single exon.
AGCUACGCACUGUGCACAGAGCGAACUAUUCUUUCGCCUUUUACUAAAGAAUACCGUGUGUACAUUGCAUAGAGUGGCAUACGCCAAUUUUUUAAGGGUCUUUUCCUUUAUUUGGAAAUU